UGAAUUACAAACAAUAAAAAUUAUUUGAAUUAGGAAGAAAAGUGACAUCUAAUUCCAAAAUCUCUGAUAUUUAAAACCACGAAAUAAUUCUGUUUUACCACCAAACAUUCUGCGUCCUCAUUGAAGAAUAACGAGGAUCAUAACCAUAACCAUCAAGCAAUGUUAUUAUUAAACUGCUGCAGAAUAACCAUGUUUAUUUCAUUGAAAAUAUACUUCAAUGUAAGCCAACAGCAUACAGUAUCAUUAGACAUACUAACAAAUACAGCUCAAUUGGAAAGAGACGGUACAGACUAUAAAUAAGCAGCUUGCAGCUCAAUACGACUGUCAAAAUUUUACGACAAUAUAACCAUGAACUGAGUUAGGAAAUGGACUGCACAUUUUCAUCUUCAAACAUCCCUCCAAGUGGAUCUUAUAGCAUCAAGUCUGACUAAAAUUGAACAGGAAGAGCAGUCAAGAAAGCCAAUGUAUAUGGUGAAGUGGAUUUACCGAAGAGGGAACACCAAUGUGGAAGCUUCUGAAGCACCCUCUCUACUUUUGGUGUCACCAUGUUUACAUCUGUCCUCAGUUUUAAUAGGAGAGCA
Molecule: long non-coding RNA, 581 nt
Filed under: Phoenix dactylifera (date palm)
Lineage: Eukaryota; Viridiplantae; Streptophyta; Magnoliopsida; Arecales; Arecaceae
Description: long non-coding RNA (PDAC_LNC021295)
Source: RNAcentral